Long non-coding RNA from Oryzias melastigma (Indian medaka), 2255 nucleotides. RefSeq lists it as uncharacterized. Lineage: Eukaryota; Metazoa; Chordata; Actinopteri; Beloniformes; Adrianichthyidae. The transcript is spliced from 3 exons. The record is from RefSeq and is a predicted model, not a curated record.
CAAAAAAAAAAAAAACAAGCUAAUCCAAAGCAAACUUUCAUUUUAAUCUAACAGCUCAAACUGGUGUUGUCAAACUCUUUACAAUAAUGGGGGAAACAAAAACCCCUCUAGAACUCUUACUCAAAGGCUUUUCUUUAAAAUGCACGGCCCUACUCAUGCACUCGUGCAAAUACUGUUGCACAUUUGAUUUUUCUGUGGCGACACAGUCAGUAGGAACCGCGCGGGCAUGUAUGUACCUGCAGCAGUUUCUGUUGCCUUCAGACCAACUGUCACUGCGCUUGUGCUGAAGCACUUGUACGGAUGUGUUGCAACCCGCCACUCAAAGAAGACCCCCCAAAAACACUUUUUUUGAAGAGUAAAGCAGAACUUCAGGCGUCGAUGCCCACAUGUUUUCCAACAUACCCUGCUCUAUGUUCUAAUUGGCUGGACACACCUGAACCAGUGUCUCCAAACACCCUGGGGACGUACAAGACGUGGAACAAAUAAAUGCGGCUCUUUGAAAAUGCAGAGGACAAAGGAUGCACACGGGGAAGGAAACAGGAAACAGGACAUCAAGACGGGAAGUGCGGCAACAACAUCGCUGCUCUGGUCCUCCACUUCAUUACACACUUGAAAAUCCCCUCCCACCUAAUCCUCUGCACUUGUGAAGUGCUGGCGUGCCUCUGGUAGCUAUGGAAACAACAGCAUGUAGGCUGCUUGAAAUGCAUUCAAAGCAAUCUGACUGUGAAUUCAGGACUUUCCCACCCACAAGAGGGAGAAAAAGAACAUUCAUCAGUUUUAUGUUAACGCACAAAUGUGCACAAAAAUUAAGACAGUUUUACAUGCAUUUCAAUUUGGAUUUAGGCAAAAUCAUCAGUACAUUAUAGCAGUGUGAUAGUGAACACUUUUUGAUUAUUUUACUUAAAUUUGUAGAUUAAAGACGCCCUUUUAACCUGCCUUCCAUUCUGCCUCGGUCAAAGCUACAUUAAAAAAAAACCCCUUUUUUUUUCAAAAUGGUGAAUUUUCUAUUGGUUUUAGCUCCAUAGCAACCACUUAAUUUUUUGGUCGCCUGGGGUUGAGGAACAAGUCUGUAUAUUUUAACGAAGAAUCUGCAAACGUGAAUUCUUGGAUUUCCUUGGCAACAGAGUUUUUCUGAUAAUAACGCUGACAUUUCUAGUAUGAUCGUAUCACAUGUUAUGGCGUUUUUGUUCAGCCUGAUUCUGGGAUUCAUUUUUUUAAUAUUUUCACAAUAUUUUAAUGAAAAAAAUGUAAUAAAGCAAUGCCAUAUUUACAAGCUCAUCACGCUAACACCGUUAAAAACCAACAACUUCUAAAUCUAACAUUUUCCCCGAGUUUUCCACCUCAGUGAUGCUUGAGGAGUCCCUAAGAUUAGUUUAAAUGUGUAACUGGUACCAAACGUGACUAUCUGGAAAAAUUCAAGAUGGCUGCUUUUUCCUGAGGUCAAAGGUCAGCAAAACUUGCGGUUGUAGACUCAACUUGGUGGCAUGUGAGUGACAUUUUGUGAAGAUCCCUUGAAGAAUCUUUUCCCAUAUUGUGCAAAAUUGUGAAAAUGUUCAUAUUUUGCAACAAAAUAGGAAUUUGUAGAUCCUGUGGGCAUCAUGUAAUUAUUUUGAAGCCUCCUUUAGACAUCCCUGACAUGUAUUUUUUGGUUUUGUUAAUGAAUUUUUUAAAUAUUUUCUUUUUUAAAUGGUUUUUCUCACUGUGAUGUCAUCUAGGCGUUUGCAUCAUCAUCUAGGUGACUAGGUGUGAGCAAAUUUUGGUGAGUUUUUGAGUGUGUGGCAGGGGUCAAAUUUGCUCUCAAACUGGGCUAAGAAAAGAGAAUUGCCAAACAAUGCGGGGUCAUAAUAAUCAUAAAUACGUCAGACACCAAAUUGACAAAUGAUGGUAAAGCGUUUGUAAGUACCAAUUAGAAUGCAUCAUUAUGCCUUUCUCAAAUGCUCUUUGAAUGUGAGAUGACAUUUUUAAAGGUUAUCUCAAUUUAAAUGUAUUGACUGUCAUCAAACAUUUAAUUUGUGAUAUUUUUUUUAUCCAUUUGUCACAGGUUAAAACUGAAGAUAUUUUUUUUCCAGUGUCACCAUCUGUUCUCUCCCUGCUUUGAUGUUUCCAUUCUUCGUGUCCUUAUAGCUGCUCAUUGGUCUGCUCCAGUUACUGCCCUGACCCGUGGUAUUUACAGCCUAUAGCCCUGACACAGCUGUCAUGUGGAAUGUAAGCAACUGUUUGAAUCACUGUAAAAAUUAGAAGGAAAAAAAUAAAAA